This 498-nucleotide ribosomal RNA is filed under the name uncultured bacterium. RNAcentral's name for it is "partial 16S ribosomal RNA". It matches the Rfam family "Bacterial small subunit ribosomal RNA", at positions 30 to 523 of the family's 1533-position model. The record is from RNAcentral.
AUUGAACGCUGGCGGCAUGCCUUACACAUGCAAGUCGAACGGUAACAGGUCUUCGGAUGCUGACGAGUGGCGAACGGGUGAGUAAUACAUCGGAACGUGCCUAGUAGUGGGGGAUAACUACUCGAAAGAGUGGCUAAUACCGCAUGAGAUCUACGGAUGAAAGCAGGGGAUCGCAAGACCUUGUGCUACUAGAGCGGCCGAUGGCAGAUUAGGUAGGUGGUGGGAUAAAAGCUUACCAAGCCGACGAUCUGUAGCUGGUCUGAGAUGACGAUCAGCCACAAUGGGACUGGGAAAGGGCCCAGACUCCUACGGGAGGCAGCAGGGGGGAAUUUUGGACAAUGGACGAAAGCCUGAUCCAGCAAUGCCGCGUGCAGGAUGAAGGCCUUCGGGUUGUAAACUGCUUUUGUACGGAACGAAAAGCCCCGGGUUAAUACCCUGGGGUCAUGACGGUACCGUAAGAAUAAGCACCGGCUAACUACGUGCCAGCCGCCGCGGUAA